This 75-nucleotide transfer RNA is filed under the name Candidatus Iainarchaeum sp. RNAcentral describes it as "tRNA-Ile". It matches the Rfam family "tRNA". Rfam says of the family: Transfer RNA (tRNA) molecules are approximately 80 nucleotides in length. Lineage: Archaea; Nanobdellati; Candidatus Iainarchaeota; Candidatus Iainarchaeia; Candidatus Iainarchaeales; Candidatus Iainarchaeaceae. The record is from RNAcentral.
GGGAGUAUAGCUCAGCCUGGUCAGAGCAUUGGUCUUAUACACCAAGGGUCGAGAGUUCGAAUCUCUCUACUCCCA